GAAUUACUGGGCGUAAAGCGCACGCAGGCGGUCUGUCAAGUCGGAUGUGAAAUCCCCGGGCUCAACCUGGGAACUGCAUUCGAAACUGGCAGGCUAGAGUCUUGUAGAGGGGGGUAGAAUUCCAGGUGUAGCGGUGAAAUGCGUAGAGAUCUGGAGGAAUACCGGUGGCGAAGGCGGCCCCCUGGACAAAGACUGACGCUCAGGUGCGAAAGCGUGGGGAGCAAACAGGAUUAGAUACCCUGGUAGUCAAGGGCGAAUUCGC
This 262-nucleotide ribosomal RNA is filed under the name uncultured Enterobacterales bacterium. RNAcentral describes it as "partial 16S ribosomal RNA". It matches the Rfam family "Bacterial small subunit ribosomal RNA", at positions 548 to 809 of the family's 1533-position model. Lineage: Bacteria; Pseudomonadati; Pseudomonadota; Gammaproteobacteria; Enterobacterales. The record is from RNAcentral.